RNAcentral lists this ribosomal RNA (1215 nucleotides) under human gut metagenome. RNAcentral describes it as "bacterial LSU rRNA". It matches the Rfam family "Bacterial large subunit ribosomal RNA", at positions 1699 to 2925 of the family's 2925-position model. The record is from RNAcentral.
GCAUUGUUAAGGAACUCGGCAAAAUGACCCCGUAACUUCGGGAGAAGGGGUGCCCUGUGAAAGCAGGGCCGCAGAGAAUAGGCUCAAGCAACUGUUUAGCAAAAACACAGGUCUAUGCGAAACCGAAAGGUGAGGUAUAUGGGCUGACGCCUGCCCGGUGCUGGAAGGUUAAGAGGAGAGGUUAGCGCAAGCGAAGCUUUGAAUUUAAGCCCCAGUAAACGGCGGCCGUAACUAUAACGGUCCUAAGGUAGCGAAAUUCCUUGUCGGGUAAGUUCCGACCCGCACGAAAGGCGUAAUGAUUUGAGCGCUGUCUCGACAAUGCAUCCGGUGAAAUUGAAGUACCAGUGAAGAUGCUGGUUACCUGCGCCAGGACGGAAAGACCCCAUGGAGCUUUACUCCAGCUUGAUACUGGGAUUCGAUACUGUAUGUACAGGAUAGGUGGGAGACGUUGAACAUAGAACGCCAGUUUUAUGUGAGUCGCUGUUGGGAUACCACCCUUGCAGUAUUGGAUUUCUAACCUGCACCCAUGACCUGGGUGGGGGACAAUGUCUGGCGGGGAGUUUGACUGGGGCGGUCGCCUCCGAAAGGGUAUCGGAGGCGCUCAAAGGUUCCCUCAGAAUGGUUGGAAACCAUUCGAAGAGUGCAAAGGCAGAAGGGAGCUUGACUGCGACACCGACGGGUGGAGCAGGUACGAAAGUAGGACUUAGUGAUCCGGUGGUAUGAAAGUGGGAUUGCCAUCGCUCAACGGAUAAAAGCUACCCUGGGGAUAACAGGCUUAUCACUCCCAAGAGUUCACAUCGACGGAGUGGUUUGGCACCUCGAUGUCGGCUCAUCGCAUCCUGGGGCUGUAGCAGGUUCCAAGGGUUGGGCUGUUCGCCCAUUAAAGCGGUACGCGAGCUGGGUUCAGAACGUCGUGAGACAGUUCGGUCCCUAUCCGGCGCGGGCGUAGGAUAUUUGAGAGGAGCUGCCCUUAGUACGAGAGGACCGGGGUGGACUGGCCGCUGGUGUAUCUGUUGUAUUACCAAGUGCAUAGCAGAGUAGCCAAGCCGGGAAGGGAUAAACGCUGAAGGCAUCUAAGCGUGAAGCCCCCCUCAAGAUGAGAUAUCCCUCAGAAAUGAGUAAGACCCCUUGAAGACUACGAGGUAGAUAGGAAUGAGGUGUAAGCACAGCAAUGUGUUCAGCUGACAUUUACUAAUCGGUCGAGGGCUUGACCAA